AAUAGAUACCCUGGUAGUCCUGGCCGUAAACGAUGAGCACUGGAUCGAGGACUCCCCCAUAGGUUCUCGGUCGUAGCGAAAGUGUUAAGUGCUCCGCCUGGGGAGUAUGGCCGCAAGGCUGAAACUCAAAGGAAUUGACGGGGGCUCACACAAGCGGUGGAGGAUGUGGCUUAAUUCGAGGCUACGCGAAGAACCUUAUCCAGGCCUUGACAUGUACGGAUUAACCUUAUGAAAGUAGGGCCACGCCUUCGGGUGGAACGUACACAGGUGCUGCAUGGCUGUCGUCAGCUCGUGUCGUGAGAUGUCGGGUUAAGUCCCUUAACGAGCGAAACCCUUGUCUCUAGUUGCCAGCGCGUAAUGGCGGGGACUCUAGAGAGACUGCCGGUGUUAAACCGGAGGAAGGUGGGGAUGACGUCAAGUCCUCAUGGCCUUUAUGGCCUGGGCUGCACACGUCCUACAAUGGCGCAUACAAAGGGGAAGCAAGCUCGCGAGAGUUAGCAAAUCCCAUAAAGUGCGCCCCAGUUCGGAUUGCAGGC
Molecule: ribosomal RNA, 536 nt
Filed under: uncultured bacterium
Lineage: Bacteria
Description: bacterial SSU rRNA
Rfam family: Bacterial small subunit ribosomal RNA
Source: RNAcentral